This 354-nucleotide long non-coding RNA is filed under the name Zostera marina. Its description in RNAcentral is "long non-coding RNA (ZMAR_LNC002338)". Lineage: Eukaryota; Viridiplantae; Streptophyta; Magnoliopsida; Alismatales; Zosteraceae. The record is from RNAcentral.
GUAAGUCGGUGAAGAAACAUGGCGACGUUCGCCCUCUUCCUCUUCUUCUUCGUCUUCUUCGUCCUCUUUCUCUUCUUCGUUUUCUUCCUGUUCUUACUGCUGUAACGUUCAGACGUAUUCGUCCGGAUGUUCUUGCAGCUGUCGGGUUUUUGAUGACGGACGUAUUCCUGUUCUUGCAGUUGUAACGUUCAGACGUAUUCCGACACCAAAUGACAACAUUAGAAGAAACUGCAAUCCUGAGAUGGGGUGUGGUUACUAUUGUGCACUUUUUUUCCUCUCUCUCUUCUAAUUCUUCUUCCUCGAUUUUCUUUAGAUUAUUGCUGCUCUCCAACUUCCUGUAUGAGUGACGUCCUU